GCACAGGUGCUGCAUGGCUGUCGUCAGCUCGUGUCGUGAGAUGUUCGGUUAAGUCCGCUAACGAGCGCAACCCUCGCUGUGUGUUACAAGUGUCACACGGUACUGCCGGUCUUAAGCCGGAGGAAGGUGGGGAUGACGUCAAGUCAGCAUGGCCUUUAUGUCCUGGGCUACACACACGCUACAAUGGCCAACACAAUAGGUUGCUAAGCCGCGAGGUGGAGCCAAUCCUCAAAGUUGGUCUCAGUUCAGAUUGCAGGCUGCAACUCGCCUGCAUGAAGAUGGAGUUGCUAGUAACCGCAGGUCAGCUAUACUGCGGUGAAUACGUUCCCGGGGCUU
RNAcentral lists this ribosomal RNA (336 nucleotides) under uncultured Leptolinea sp. RNAcentral describes it as "bacterial SSU rRNA". It matches the Rfam family "Bacterial small subunit ribosomal RNA", at positions 1032 to 1382 of the family's 1533-position model. The record is from RNAcentral. Lineage: Bacteria; Bacillati; Chloroflexota; Anaerolineae; Anaerolineales; Anaerolineaceae.